This 232-nucleotide unclassified non-coding RNA is filed under the name Hevea brasiliensis (rubber tree). Lineage: Eukaryota; Viridiplantae; Streptophyta; Magnoliopsida; Malpighiales; Euphorbiaceae. The record is from RNAcentral.
GAUUAUGUUCAUGGAGCUCUUUCAUACUGUAUUAAUCUCUCUCAUUCCUAUGUCAACCAUAGGGAAUAUCGUUGUGAGGUUCUGCGCCUUCUCGUUAAAAUAUAUCAAAGACUGCCUUCUCCUGAUUUCCUGAGCAUCUGUCAGUGUCUCAUGUUUCUCAAUGAACCUGAAACUGUUGCUAGCAUACUCGAAAAACUUUUGUCUGGAAGCAAGGAUGAUGCUCUCUUGGCUU